GACGAACGCUGGCGGCGUGCUUAACACAUGCAAGUCGAACGGAAUUCAUCCCAGCUUGCUGGGAGAAGAUUUAGUGGCGAACGGGUGAGUAACGCGUGGGCAACCUGCCCUAGAGAUCGGGAUAACUCCUCGAAAGGGGGGCUAAUACCGGAUACCUUCACGAUCACGCAUGUGAUUGUGAAGAAAGCCUUCGGGCGCUUUAGUAUGGGCCCGCGUUCCAUUAGCUUGUUGGUGAGGUAAAAGCUUACCAAGGCCUUGAUGGAUAGCCGGCCUGAGAGGGUGAACGGCCACACUGGGACUGAGAUACGGCCCAGACUCCUACGGGAGGCAGCAGUGGGGAAUAUUGCGCAAUGGGCGAAAGCCUGACGCAGCAACGCCGUGUGGACGAUGAAGGCCUUCGGGUUGUAAAGUCCUGUCACAGGGGACGAAGCCUUGACUUGUCAAGGUGACGGUACCCUGAGAGGAAGCCCCGGCUAACUACGUGCCAGCCGCCGCCGUAA
RNAcentral lists this ribosomal RNA (500 nucleotides) under uncultured bacterium. RNAcentral describes it as "partial 16S ribosomal RNA". It matches the Rfam family "Bacterial small subunit ribosomal RNA", at positions 28 to 523 of the family's 1533-position model. The record is from RNAcentral.